RNAcentral lists this long non-coding RNA (1683 nucleotides) under Canis lupus familiaris (dog). Its description in RNAcentral is "lncRNA (ENSCAFG00030006565.1)". The record is from RNAcentral. Lineage: Eukaryota; Metazoa; Chordata; Mammalia; Carnivora; Canidae.
CAAUUCAGAACUCCUCUGGACAAUUCAGAAAUCUUUGAGAAAGCACUUGACCUUUAUAUACCAGUAAGAACAACAAUUAACCACUGCUUCUAACAUUUAUUGGGUGUUUGCUAAAACAGGCAAAGCAGAUUAAGUACGUUUCAUUUACUCCACCCUAUCCAGUGAAGUAGGUCUACCAUCUCUAUUUUACAGAUGAGUAAAUUAAAGCCCAGCGAGGUUAAGAAACUUCCCUAAGUUCAUAGUUAUUAGAUGGCAGAACUGAAAUUUAGAUUCCUAUGGUCUGGCUCCAGACCUUAGACUCAGCACUACAAUUUACUGCCUCAAGUACAGUCCAAGCCUAGAUCAAAAAUGCCCAUUUAAAGCACAGCAAAGGGGAUCCCUGGAUGGCUCAGCAGUUGGGUGCCUGCCGAUCCACCCAGGGCGUGAUCCUGGAGUCCUGGGGUCAAGUCCCACAUUGGGCUUCCUGCAUGGAGCCUGCUUCUCCCUUUGCCUGUGUCUCUGCCUCUCUCUGUGUCUCUCAUAAAUAAAUAAAAUAUUUUUAAAAAUAAGUAAAUAAAGCACAACAAAGUGCUUUAGAUCCUAAACCCGUAAGCUGAAUGAGACCAGCAACAGCUCAAGAACUAUCCUGUAUCCCCAUACAAACAUAGACACUCCCUAUCACCAGUCUUCCCCACCACUCUUAAACAACACCAUAUUCUGCUGCUUAUUGACAAAGUGAUUUAUAUUAUUUUACAGGUCCUUUCAUUUUAUUUUUUUUAAGAUUUUAUUUAUUAUUCAUGAGAGAGAGAGAGAGAGAGAGAGGCAGAGAGACACAGGCAGAGGGAGAAGCAGGCUCCACGCAGGGAAGCCUGACACAGGACUUGAUCCCGGGUCUCCAGGAUCACGCCCAGGGCAGAAGGCAGAUGCCCAACCACUGAGCCACCCAGGGAUCCCAGGUCCUUUCAUUUUAAAGAGUGACAAAAUUUUCCACAUACACCAAAUGGAAGGUAAAUUUAAAUCCUGACUUAAAACCUAACUACAUAAAAUUGCAUUAUACUAAACUACAUUACUUGUUUGCAUUCUAUUUGUUUUUUUUUUUUUUUAAGAUUUUAUUUAUUUGGGGAUCCCUGGGUGGCGCAGCAGUUUGGCGCCUACCUUUGGCCCAGGGCGCGAUCCUGGAGACCCGGGAUCGAGUCCUACGUCGGGCUCCCGGUGCAUGGAGCCUGCUUCUCCCUCUGCCUGUGUCUCUGCCUCUCUCUCUCUCUCUCUCUCUCUCUCUCUCUGUGACUAUCAUAAAAAAAAAAAAGAUUUUAUUUAUUUAUUCAUGAGAGACACACACAGAGAGAGGCAGAGACACAGGCAGAGGGAGAAGUAGGCUCCAUGCAGGGAGCCCGACGCGGGACUGGGUCCCGCGUUUCCAGGAUCAUGCCCUGGGCUGAAGGCAGGCGCCAAACCGCUAAGCCACCCAGGGAUCCCUGGAAAUUUCUUUAAAAAUUUUUUUGUAUGUGGAUAUCCAGUGUUCUUGGCAUUUUAGGUAUGUUCCCACACGAUGUUGAUAUCAAUAAAGUUGAUACUUUGAAAUGCACUAUAGUUGCACAUAUGCAAAUAAUUAAGGAUAUACAAUUAGAAAAACAAAGAAAUUCUUAAUUCUAAAAAAAAAUGAACAAUAGAAAGAAUAUGUAAUCAUAAUACAUUAGUUGGCUG